AUGCAGUACGCAUCGUUGUGGCUCGCUUCUGGCGCCGCUGCAGUUUGCGGUUCUGUACGCAUGCAGUGCAGUAGGCGCAUCUCCAUGGCACUUCAGCCACGCCAUGAAAAUCCUCGCUGGAUCCGACGAACCACCACCGGAUUCGUGGAGAUCUUCCCGCCACGACGAGUUUCUACCCCCACAUCAGGCGCCUGGAUCAUGGCGCCCAUCCCACACCCCGGCAGACGUCCCCCCUGCAUCCCUCCCCGCGCACCCUGUGGUCUGCUUCGUCAAGCCACUGGUGCGCCAUGUGCGGCAUCGUGUAGUCCACUGUGUGGGUGCAUGCAGCACGCCCACCCCGCACCCCUGGCGCCGUGCAGUCCACCAAGUGCAAAAGCAGCUUCCUGCGACGCCAUGGAGCUCCCUUUGCUUAGCAAGGUCCAUGGGGAGAGUACCUUUAUGCAGGGGCAGUGCCAUGGAAGGCUUGAGCUCUUCCGCUCCUCAACAAGCAGCAGCAGCGUGACGUUGAGGUCUUCCCCUAUGGAAGGUCAUCGACGGAGCAGCAGGCCGAGCGAUGGUGGUGGCCGACUGAUGGUGACGGGAUGGAGGCUGCUACUGUGUUGUAUGCUCGGAGAUGCUCGCCAUGCGGUUCAGGGCUCGUGCACGUGCAUUCCAACGAGCGUCAUCUCUUCCCCUCUGGUCGGUCGACCAUGGCCGUGCAGCUCAGAGACGCUCGCCAUGUGGUUCGGAGCUCGUGCGCGUGCAGUCCAGCAAUUGCCAUCUCUUCCCCCCGCAGUUCGUCGACCAUGCCAUGCAACUCAAAUGCAGUUCUGCUGGUGUAUGUGUGUGGCUGUAAAACAAAGAAUGGAUGUAUGUGUGUAUAUGAGCAUCGACGAAGGAGCAAAACAAAAUGUGCGCGUGUAG
This 903-nucleotide ribosomal RNA is filed under the name Triticum aestivum (bread wheat). Its description in RNAcentral is "partial small subunit ribosomal RNA". The record is from RNAcentral. Lineage: Eukaryota; Viridiplantae; Streptophyta; Magnoliopsida; Poales; Poaceae.